Molecule: long non-coding RNA, 1351 nt
Organism: Mauremys mutica (yellowpond turtle)
Lineage: Eukaryota; Metazoa; Chordata; Testudines; Geoemydidae
Exons: 5
Source: RefSeq, a predicted model, not a curated record
GCGACUCCAGGCCCCGGGACCCAACGCCCCGGCCGCGGCCCCGCUCACCGAGGCUUCACAGAAGAACUGUGUUUUCAGCAGUGACUUCAAGAAGAUGAGGGUGGAAGUGUGACAAACAGGUUUUCCAAGCAUAACAGGCUGCUUGGAAGAAAGCAUGGACUUGCCUGUGAGAGAAGAAGAUGAAGAAUAUGGAGAUUGGUGUUGGCAGAGCAAAAGGGGAAGAAGGGAAAGGCAGAAGGAGACCAGCUCAGAGAUAUUUGCAGAGGCUGCAUAAGGUAGCCUCCAGCAGAACACCUAGAUCUGCAGGUCUUGAGGUCCAAUCUCAGUGGCUUGUUUUAGGGGCGAGGGACAAACUGCAGGAAGAAGCUAAGGCGUACAGUGACUAGAACUGUUAGUUCUUUUCCUGGAGGACAAGGGAGCUGCAGACUGAGACAUCUAUUUGCCACAUUCCUAGACAGGAACCAGGAGGCGAGCUCCCCAUGAUGGCUGUUCUAAACCCAUGUCUAUAGCCAGAAGAUAGCAAUAAUGAGCAUAGAAGGAAGAGCUCUUCUUGAUAUGUAUUCCAUCGUAGUGAUACCUAAAAAAAUACAAAAUGUGAUGGAUUGACAAGUAUACAGUUUGCAAGACCAAGUCAUCACUGAAUUCACAUCUGUAUUCUGCAAGCAGCUCGUAAUUCUUUUGAAAUAAGAAAACAAUAGGUGGAAACCUGUAUUUAUUUUUAAAAUUGUUUAAAUCUUAUUUUGUCUAAUAUUUGAUAAGCACAUAAUUUUGACAAACUUUUUUAAAUAUAAAUAACUUUACAAUCACUUUUUAAAACAACAUUGGUAAUUUAGUAAUAAAAUGUUGUUUUUUUUAAAAAACUAUCAGCCCUAGAGCAGUGUGAGGAGUGCAGUCAACCAAUGUAGCAGAAGCACAGAGUCUAGGGCAGGAUCCCCAUUGAAGUCAAAGAAGCUAUUUCAGUGGAGUUACACUAAUUUAUGUCAGCUGAGGAUCUGGCCUCCAUUCUCCAGCCAUGGCAGAUUAAAACCACUUCAAGUUAAAGAUACCACCUGUCCAGUUGCUGCCUGAGGAAUUCAAUCUCUUGUUUUUUGAAAUCCCCCACUGAGCACUGGCACCUCUUGUUGAUACUGGGGUGGUGUGGAACCACUGUUCACACUGCUGUCAUGCCACUGUACAGCUUCUGAAGUACCAUUUCCCCACUGGCUUUUUGCCUGAUACAUAUUGGACAGUAAACAAUACUUAGUGGGCCCAAUUCUGACCAUAAAAACAACGAGGAGUUGCUGGGUGGGUGUCAGUAGUUGCUGAUUAGUGUCAGUAUUAGUGUCAGUAUAAUAAUGCCUGCAUCUGUAAU